This 431-nucleotide ribosomal RNA is filed under the name uncultured bacterium. Its description in RNAcentral is "partial 16S ribosomal RNA". It matches the Rfam family "Bacterial small subunit ribosomal RNA", at positions 29 to 507 of the family's 1533-position model. The record is from RNAcentral.
AACGAACGCUGGCGGCAGGCUUAACACAUGCAAGUCGAGCGCCCCGCAAGGGGAGCGGCAGACGGGUGAGUAACGCGUGGGAACGUAUCUUUUGGUUCGGAACAACUCCGGGAAACUGGAGCUAAUACCGGAUAAGCCCUAACGGGGAAAGAUUUAUCGCCGAAAGAUCGGCCCGCGUCUGAUUAGCUAGUUGGUGAGGUAACGGCUCACCAAGGCGACGAUCAGUAGCUGGUCUGAGAGGAUGAUCAGCCACACUGGGACUGAGACACGGCCCAGACUCCUACGGGAGGCAGCAGUGGGGAAUAUUGGACAAUGGGCGCAAGCCUGAUCCAGCCAUGCCGCGUGAGUGAUGAAGGCCUUAGGGUUGUAAAGCUCUUUUGUCCGGGAAGAUAAUGACUGUACCGGAAGAAUAAGCCCCGGCUAACUUCGUG